This 525-nucleotide ribosomal RNA is filed under the name Salmonella enterica subsp. enterica serovar Montevideo. Its description in RNAcentral is "bacterial SSU rRNA". It matches the Rfam family "Bacterial small subunit ribosomal RNA", at positions 1 to 515 of the family's 1533-position model. The record is from RNAcentral. Lineage: Bacteria; Pseudomonadati; Pseudomonadota; Gammaproteobacteria; Enterobacterales; Enterobacteriaceae.
AAAUUGAAGAGUUUGAUCAUGGCUCAGAUUGAACGCUGGCGGCAGGCCUAACACAUGCAAGUCGAACGGUAACAGGAAGCAGCUUGCUGCUUUGCUGACGAGUGGCGGACGGGUGAGUAAUGUCUGGGAAACUGCCUGAUGGAGGGGGAUAACUACUGGAAACGGUGGCUAAUACCGCAUAACGUCGCAAGACCAAAGAGGGGGACCUUCGGGCCUCUUGCCAUCAGAUGUGCCCAGAUGGGAUUAGCUUGUUGGUGAGGUAACGGCUCACCAAGGCGACGAUCCCUAGCUGGUCUGAGAGGAUGACCAGCCACACUGGAACUGAGACACGGUCCAGACUCCUACGGGAGGCAGCAGUGGGGAAUAUUGCACAAUGGGCGCAAGCCUGAUGCAGCCAUGCCGCGUGUAUGAAGAAGGCCUUCGGGUUGUAAAGUACUUUCAGCGGGGAGGAAGGUGUUGUGGUUAAUAACCGCAGCAAUUGACGUUACCCGCAGAAGAAGCACCGGCUAACUCCGUGCCAGCAGC